RNAcentral lists this unclassified non-coding RNA (445 nucleotides) under Hevea brasiliensis (rubber tree). Lineage: Eukaryota; Viridiplantae; Streptophyta; Magnoliopsida; Malpighiales; Euphorbiaceae. The record is from RNAcentral.
CUCCUGUGCCAACCUCCCAAGUGCAAAGGUUGACAUUUCUUUAAGUUGUGCAUCUGGGGAAUCGAGCAUAUCAAUUAAUGGCCGGACAGCUCCUCUUUGAACUAUAUGCACCUUACAAUCUGAAUCAGCAGCAGCAAAUUGACCCAAUAACAAUGCUGCUUCUCUUUGGCUUUCAGAACAGCUGCAGCUAAGCAAUCCAAUCACUGGUUGUAAAGCUCCAGCAAGAAGAACUUCUUUCUUUAUGUUGGGGGAAGAGUGGACCAGAUUUCCAAUAACACCAACCGCUUCAUAAUGGAUGGUAGUAUCCUCUGAUUGAAGCAUCAGUAUAAGAGUGGGUGCAUUCUACAAUCUGAUUUUUGUUUUCAUCAUUUUUAAAUGCAAGGGUCCGCAAUGCCCCUGCAGCUGCUCUCUGUAUCUUUACAUCAACACACUCAAGCAAUUCAAC